Molecule: long non-coding RNA, 710 nt
Organism: Camponotus floridanus (Florida carpenter ant)
Lineage: Eukaryota; Metazoa; Arthropoda; Insecta; Hymenoptera; Formicidae
Exons: 2
Source: RefSeq, a predicted model, not a curated record
GUACGUUUGCGUUUUUAACGCGCCUCUUUUGCACACAAGUUAAACAAUAAGAGAUAGAUAAAUGACAGUUAAUUACAGCGGCACAUUCCCGACAACGAUCGUAAAUAAACCAAUUACGUCUUCGCGAUAUACAAGAAAAAGGAAGGACAAUGGGAUAAACGUGCAAGAAAUCAUAGCUGCAUAGAUUCGCAAAAAAAAUGUGGCGAUACAAAAAAAAAGAGGAAAAAACCGCAUAGGAAAUAACGCAUAAAGGACGAGGGAGAGAUGACGGGUCACGGGUCCCGCGAAGGACCAGUGAAGCUGGGUGUACAGGUCCAGCUUGCCCGCCACUCCCCCCUCCCCUCGCCCACUCUCAUUCACCCCUGUCGUCGCUGCUCCGAAAAUAUUUCGCGAUCAAAUAGGUACGCGGAUCGACUUACUGUCAAUUGAGAAGGCAUCCGCGGCUGCCAGCGCGGCCAACGCGACGAGUAGCAGCACGCCACGGGAAUCUUGCCCCAUGACAACCCUCUUUCUUCUCACGGUCGUGUCCUUCCUGCCUUCGUUCCACCACUGUGUCAGGGCACACCACCACCACCCAGUGUGCAGCAUCCGCCACCACCGUUGCCAACCUCUCGGUACCACGAGUUUCUUCUCGCCGUCUCUCGCCCUCUUGCCGGCUCUCUCUUUCUCUCUCUCUCUCCGUCUCUCUUCCUCCCGUGAAUAUCGAUCAA